UUUUGAAACCGAUUCUAACCGAUAUCGAUCCAGGAACCAUUUGAUCGCCGAUUCCGUAUUUUAAAAUGCCGGUAAACAAUGAUAGGACUACCACUCCGUGAUCGUGAAAGCCAGUAAGUGAUGCCUAUAGUCUUGUCUACCAGCAAAAGAAACAAAAGUCCCCUAGUCCAAAUUCCGAAGCCCCACCUUGUUUUACCCUACCACUGAUUCUCUGAUUUCCCUCUUCAUUAUUUUCUCUUUCUUCUUCCCACUAUCAUUAUUUCCCAUGGUUCCUUCAUCUUUUUCUGUGUUCUUGUUCCCGCCGCCCGUUCGCUGGUUCGCCAUUUCCAAUAUCUAAGGACAUCCUCCAGGUUUCAUAUUUUCAAAUAAAAAAAAAAAGAUAAUUAUCUUUUUGUUGUUCGUCGAGUUCUCCGGGCAUUCUCAGUCAAAGAAAGCAGUCGCCAUGAUUUUCUGAGCAAGUCCCCUGUCCUCUCCGGUCUCGAGAUAGAUUUCCAUUGCACAAGUCCUGUAAGGAAGUAUUUGAUUCUGAAAAUGCUCUCCAAAGAUCAAAGUACUAGUAGUGGGAGUGUCAGAUUCUCCUUCUUAUUGUUUCUCUUUUUGUAGGAGGAAGGAAGUAUUUGAAUUUUUGGAACAGAGAGUGGGAGUGAUUUGGAAAUUUUGGUUGGUUAAGUAUAGUGCACGUUUGUUUGGACUUGGGGGAAGAAGAAAUGAAGAUUUGAAUUUGGAUAGUUGGAUACUCGUACUACUAGUGGGUAGGGGUUGCAGUCUUACUGGGGGAUGAUUUGAACAAAGUUUAUUCUGACUUCUGAGUUCGCAUUGCUUCUCAGUUAUUGGUAUUGACUUCUGAAAGCUCUCCAAAGAUCAAAGUACCAUGCAGGAUGCACCGCAGCAGAUAAACUAGUCGGGAUAUCGGUACUUUAUGUAAGAGUGCAUACACCACAGACAAUAUGUUUGACUCGACUGUUUUGCAAUUCCCCUUGAACUUAGGGGAGACUUUGGUUAGAAGUACACAGACUGCUGGGAGAAAUUGUGUUUCUGAAGAUCAGUUUGAUCUUGUGAACGAAUUUAGGAGUUGCAACUCCAAAAUAGAGGUGAACUACUCUUGUGGGGAAACUGGAAGCCCUAGUUCAUGCAAUAAAAGCAGUAGUACCUAUCCUUACAGAGUCCAACUUGAACAGGACGUAAGUUUUUCGUGCUUAUAUUCACCAUUGCAACAAUACACUAUCUUGCUGCUUCUUGACCCCAUUAUAAAACUGGAUUCAAGAUUAUGUAAAAAGUACUUGACUGAAU
This is a long non-coding RNA of Macadamia integrifolia, 1290 nucleotides long. RefSeq lists it as uncharacterized. The transcript is spliced from 4 exons. The record is from RefSeq and is a predicted model, not a curated record. Lineage: Eukaryota; Viridiplantae; Streptophyta; Magnoliopsida; Proteales; Proteaceae.